This 327-nucleotide long non-coding RNA is filed under the name Mustela putorius furo (domestic ferret). Its description in RNAcentral is "lncRNA (ENSMPUG00000026304.1)". Lineage: Eukaryota; Metazoa; Chordata; Mammalia; Carnivora; Mustelidae. The record is from RNAcentral.
UUUUACUCCUUCCCUCCCAGCGUCGCAAACUAACCUUUAUAGAGGUGGUUGAGCCCGGCCCACACACAGGUAGCCAAUGAGAUUUCAACUCACCUCAGUAAAUAUGCGCACCCCACCAAUUGAAUGUCUCCGUCUGGCCUGGCCCGCCCUAUAUCCGGGAUUUACAACACGCACGUGGGAAGCCUCAGGUCACACCAGGGAGAAACAGCUGUUCCUUCUCACUGCUCAGGAUGGUUCCACCGCAGGGACAGGCCACGGUGUGGUCACUCACGCGCAGAAGACUAUAAAAGCCUGGGUGCUGCGGGUCCUUACACCCCAAGACUGGAG